GACGAACGCUGGCGGCGUGCUUAACACAUGCCGGUCGAACGGAAAGGCCCUGCUUUUGUGGGGUGCUCGAGUGGCGAAAGGGUGAGUAACACGUGAGUAAACUGCCCUUGACUUUGGGAUAACUUCAGGAAACUGGGGCUAAUAUCGGAUAGGAGCUACUGCUGCAUGGUGGGGGUUGGUAAGUUUCGGCGGUUGGGGAUGGACUCGCAGCUUAUCAGCUUGUUGGUGGGGUAGUGGAUUACCAAGGUUUUGACGGGUAGCCGGCCUGAGAGGGUGACCGGCCACAUUGGGACUGAGGUACGGCCCAGACUCGUACGGGAGGCAGCAGUGGGGAAUAUUGCACAAUGGGCCGAAGCCUGAUGCAGCGACGCCGCGUGCGGGAUGACGGCCUUCGAGUUGUAAACCGAUUUCGCCUGUGACGAAGCGUGAGUGACGGUAAUGGGUAAAGAAGCACCGGCUAACUACGUG
RNAcentral lists this ribosomal RNA (468 nucleotides) under uncultured bacterium. Its description in RNAcentral is "partial 16S ribosomal RNA". It matches the Rfam family "Bacterial small subunit ribosomal RNA", at positions 28 to 507 of the family's 1533-position model. The record is from RNAcentral.